Molecule: long non-coding RNA, 653 nt
Organism: Lathyrus oleraceus (garden pea)
Lineage: Eukaryota; Viridiplantae; Streptophyta; Magnoliopsida; Fabales; Fabaceae
Exons: 2
Source: RefSeq, a predicted model, not a curated record
UUAAACAAAAACAGAUCAGAAAUUUAUUGAAAUUUGAAUAAGCUAAUUAAAUAAAUUAAUAAGAAAAUUAAGGUGAACAUGAAGAGAGAGGGUGCAAAGGAAAAGCGUUCACGAUCCUGAAGCGAUUAAUCAAAAGCGCUUAUGUAAAAAAAAUCCAACUCAAUAUCGCGUUUCUUCACAGUGCUUCACAUAUUCACCUUCGUCUUCCUCAAGAACAAAUCGAAGCGAAUAAAGUGAAGAAUCAAGGCUCCAAUCAUCAAUUCACGACUCGGAAUCAACAUCAACAACUCAAUUCAAUUCAUCAUCCUGCAUGCGCGAAAACGGAAAAAUGGAAUCGAAACCAAAGCGAGAAACUCACCGGAUUGAAGCUUUGAUGCAAACAGGGAUGUUUAAUUGGAGUUAUUUGUGAACUCAGGCGCGCUUGGGAUGGUUUGAAGAAUUUGUGCUUGGAAUUGGCUUAGCUUGAAGAGUGGAUAUAAUUGCUUGAAUUUGCUAUGGCUCACAUGCUUGGAAGGGAUUGGAUUGAAAUUGUGUAGAAAUUGAGGUUUUUAUGAAUUGGACAUUGUAAUGUAAGAAUGUUGUAAAUUGGAAAAUAUGAAUGGGAUUUGCACAGAAAUGUUAUAAAUUGAAAUGAAAAAUAUGGUUCACGUAAA